This 492-nucleotide ribosomal RNA is filed under the name uncultured bacterium. Its description in RNAcentral is "bacterial SSU rRNA". It matches the Rfam family "Bacterial small subunit ribosomal RNA", at positions 1 to 531 of the family's 1533-position model. The record is from RNAcentral.
CCCUUAGAGUUUGAUCCUGGCUCAGGAUGAACGCUGGCGGCGUGCCUAAUACAUGCAAGUCGAGCGGUAAGGCUCCUUCGGGAGUACACGAGCGGCGGACGGCUGAGUAACGCGUAGGAACGUACCCCAAAGUGAGGGAUAAGCAUUGGAAACAGUGUCUAAUACCGCAUGUGAUCCACGGAUUAAAGCUUCGGCGCUUUGGGAACGGCCUGCGUAAGAUUAGCUAGUUGGUGAGGUAAUGGCUCACCAAGGCGACGAUCUUUAGCUGGUCUGAGAGGAUGAUCAGCCAGACUGGGACUGAGACACGGCCCAGACUCCUACGGGAGGCAGCAGUAGGGAAUUUUCCACAAUGGGCGAAAGCCUGAUGGAGCAACGCCGCGUGCAGGAUGAAUGCCUUAGGGUUGUAAACUGCUUUUAUAGGUGACGAAUAUGACGGUAACCUAUGAAUAAGGAUCGGCUAAUUCCGUGCCAGCAGCCGCGGUCAUACGGAAG